UACGUAUGGUGCAAGCGUUAUCCGGAUUUACUGGGUGUAAAGGGUGCGUAGGCGGCAUGGCAAGUCAGAAGUGAAAACUGAGGGCUUAACCCUCAGACUGCUUUUGAAACUGUCAGGCUAGAGUACAGGAGAGGAAAGCGGAAUUCCUAGUGUAGCGGUGAAAUGCGUAGAUAUUAGGAGGAACACCAGUGGCGAAGGCGGCUUUCUGGACUGAAACUGACGCUGAGGCACGAAAGCGUGGGGAG
Molecule: ribosomal RNA, 245 nt
Filed under: uncultured Lachnospiraceae bacterium
Lineage: Bacteria; Bacillati; Bacillota; Clostridia; Lachnospirales; Lachnospiraceae
Description: partial 16S ribosomal RNA
Rfam family: Bacterial small subunit ribosomal RNA
Source: RNAcentral